UCCGGAACAAAACUCUGCUAGUCUCUUCCAGAGAAAUAUGAGGGGGAUCCCAAGUCCUGCUUUGAUUUUGUGUCUCAGUGCUCCAUGCACAUAGAACUCAUGGCGGAACAGUUCCCUACGGAACAAGCAAAGCAUCACCAUGUUGACGGGUUCUGGGUGUUAUAAACGCACUACUGACGUGAGCAUGUUAGGGGCCUGACGAAGUGCGACGCCACAUGAUAUGCUCUGUUGCCCAUCCCAUCCCCCAUGCCGCCACUCCUUUCCGCUCCCCCGCACGAUAUGUAUCCUGUUGAUUUUCUACAUUAAAGCCUGAAGAUACUGCUCUACAGAUCUGAGUGAUUCAAUAUUCCUGGAGUGAUCUUUGUUUCUUAGAUAUUGCAUUUAUUAGAGAGACAGAAUGUGUUGAUCUUAUAAAUAGGUGUACAUUUAAUAUCUGCGAAUGGGAGACUACAAGCAAUCUGCUCAAUCUGCG
This is a long non-coding RNA of Hyla sarda, 472 nucleotides long. RefSeq lists it as uncharacterized. The record is from RefSeq and is a predicted model, not a curated record. The transcript is spliced from 4 exons. Lineage: Eukaryota; Metazoa; Chordata; Amphibia; Anura; Hylidae.